UCUCAAUGUCACACUCACCAUCCGGCUACUCAUGCACGGAAAGGAGGUGGGAAGCAUCAUUGGGAAGAAAGGGGAGUCCGUGAAGAAGAUGCGUGAGGAGAGCGGAGCUCGCAUCAACAUCUCCGAAGGGAACUGCCCCGAGCGGAUCAUCACCCUCGCGGGACCCACCAACGCCAUCUUCAAAGCUUUUGCGAUGAUCAUUGACAAACUGGAAGAGGACAUCAGCAGCUCCAUGACCAACAGCACAGCUGCCAGCCGGCCCCCGGUCACCCUCCGACUUGUGGUCCCUGCCAGCCAGUGCGGGUCCCUCAUUGGGAAGGGAGGCUGCAAGAUCAAGGAGAUCCGAGAGAGCACGGGGGCACAGGUCCAGGUGGCAGGGGACAUGCUGCCCAACUCGACUGAGCGAGCCAUCACCAUUGCUGGGAUCCCACAGUCCAUCAUCGAGUGCGUCAAACAGAUCUGCGUCGUCAUGCUUGAGUCUCCCCCGAAGGGUGUCACCAUCCCGUACCGACCCAAGCCAUCCAGCUCUCCCGUCAUCUUUGCAGGCGGCCAGGACAGGUACAGCAGCGGCAGUGCGAGCUACCCCCACACCGCCCCAUCCAUGUGCCUCAACUCUGACUUGGAGGGACCACCUCAGGAGGCCACCCGGCAGCCACUGCAUGGCAACGAACUUGGGCCAAUUCCAGCCUGGGCUGCAGUUCUUCCGGCCUAUACCAUUCAAGGACAGUAUGCCAUUCCACAGCCAGAUCUGACCAAGCUGCACCAGUUGGCAAUGCAACAGUCACACUUUCCAAUGUCUCAUGGCAACACUGGAUUCAGUGGCAUUGACUCCAGCUCUCCAGAGGUGAAAGGCUAUUGGGGUAAUGAUCCAAACACACAAUCUGUAGUUACUCUGUUGUGUAUUGAUGCUGCCUGGGGUCUCGUUCUCCCUGAUAGGUGCUGCCCACCUUUGUGCCUGGAACGGGGGGGAAAGAGGGUUGAGGGGAGCCCUAGAAGGGCUGGAGUUGCAGCCUGACUCAGCUGUCCAUGCCCUGGAGCUCAGCUGGAUAGUAGAGAGCAGCAAGAUUGGGCAGAAGCUCAGCUGUCCCAGUGAGCUGUGGGCCCUGAGCUUCCCCCCCACCCCAAAAAAAACCACACUGAGAGGAGCAACCCCCAGCCAAGGAGGUGCUGGAGCUGUCAGGAGCCGAAGGUGUGUGGGGACAGCACAAUGUCACCUGCUGUGUCCCCAGAGUGCUGCCUGCCCCUCACCCAGAGCCUCAGGAUGAGGUCUCGAGGCUCCCACCACUCCCUCUAGCAGGGAGCGAGCUGGGAAUGGGGGGAAAGUGAGAAAACAUGGAAAAAAUGCACCUGGCACACACGCUUGGCCCCGUGCGAGGCAUGAGUGGCCUUGCAGCACUGGCUGGCAUAGCACUGCCCUGCCGGGCUGCAGCGAGGAGGAGGAGGAAGGAGGGGUGAUGUAGCCCUUGGAGGUUGGUACUGGAGUGGGAGCAGAGCUGAGUGCCCGGCUGGAGCCCCCCAGUGCCAGCACCCUGCUCCUGGAUGGAGGACCCUGCGGCGACACACGGGGAGGGGACAAGGAGGGGAGAAAUCGGGGGGUUUGGAUGCCUCUGCUCAAACCACCUCCCAUGAACUCACCAUUCCAAACGAUCUGAUUGGCUGCAUCAUCGGGCGUCAGGGCGCCAAGAUCAACGAGAUCCGCCAGAUGU
Molecule: RNA transcript, 1706 nt
Organism: Lepidothrix coronata (blue-crowned manakin)
Lineage: Eukaryota; Metazoa; Chordata; Aves; Passeriformes; Pipridae
Gene: PCBP2
Gene name: poly(rC) binding protein 2
Exons: 14
Source: RefSeq, a predicted model, not a curated record